Molecule: long non-coding RNA, 186 nt
Organism: Homo sapiens (human)
Lineage: Eukaryota; Metazoa; Chordata; Mammalia; Primates; Hominidae
Exons: 2
Source: RefSeq, a predicted model, not a curated record
UCUGCAUGUUGGUCAGGCUGGUCUCAAACUCCCAACCUCAGGCACCCUAAGGCUGAGAUUCUGCACAAAAGCUUUGUCUCUCCUGCACACGGGCACCCUAAGGCUGAGCAGCACUCUCUGCCGGGUGACUGCGCCAGCGCCCAGAUCACCUGCUGGAGAAAGAAAGCAUGGCACGUUGAAGGCAAG